Ictalurus punctatus (channel catfish) is the source of this 3496-nucleotide long non-coding RNA. The record is from Ensembl. Lineage: Eukaryota; Metazoa; Chordata; Actinopteri; Siluriformes; Ictaluridae.
AAAAAGGUAGUCACCUGACUUGGAUUCCUGAAUCUCAGUGCAGUCUCAGGAUGGACCUGCAAACAGGUUAAAUUAAUGAUUACAGUUUUUUUCAGCUCAACAAAUCUUUCUAGACGCUGACUAGUGCAGGUCAAGGCUCGGGGGUUAGAGCUGUGGCUGAAUUCAUGUGAAAAUACCACAAGUGCUCGUGUGCGCGCGCUCGCUGGCUAAAGCCUGACGGCACGGCCUCAAACCGGGCAUGUGAAACACAGCAGCCGCAAAAAAUAACGGCGACAAAACAAGCGAGGGUUUCACAAACGGCACUGCAUUUCAGCACAACACUAAAAACGUCAGUACUGAAACUAGGGCUUUGGGUGACGGCAUUGGCAGGCACCAAAUCAGCCAGCACAAACGUUAUGGAACGCCCACGCCCGAUUCUCUCUCAUGGAAUAAACACUGCUUAAUGAAUUGGUCCUUGGCAAACUUGCUUUGUUUGGCAGAAUUUUACUGAUUGUCAACUACUGCUUAGGGUUAAUAGUUUGUUCAUGUUAAAUAAUGCAGAAACAUUUAAGGCAUUUGAAACAGUGCUGACCGUGUUUGGUAAUAUUUGGGUGCAGUAUUUAUUCACACCAAAGAGGGAAACUUUGGGAAAAAGUGGAUUAUGGUUUCCACCAAUAAAAUUGGCUGAUUGAUGAUUCUCACUGAGAAAUCAAAAUCAAGAAAUCCACGUUUGUCAGAAAGCUCACUGAAAAAACAAAUACUGAAAUAAAACUAUAAAACUGAUAAUUGCUGGAUUUUCCUCACCAACCUAAAAUGAGUCAUGGUCAUACAUGCUUCUAGUUAACCAUCACAGGUGCGUGCAUGCAUAUAUAACGAGACAACACAUCACAAUCAAACUAGGCAGGGAGAGAACAAGAUUGUCUAAGGUUAUAAUGGAGCAUUACACGAAAAAAUCCUUGUAUUUGCAUGUCCUUCACCCAUAUGUAUUGUUAUAUAAUCAUACCCCUCCAUUUAAUUAAAAAAAACAAACACCACUUUCCUUCAACCAUAGACAGGAAGUCAUUUUUUACCAACACAUGUUCCCUUACAAUUUCUAUCCAUUGUUUUAUAUUUGUUGGUUCUCUUCUACCAUGCCAAAUUAAAUUAUGAAUUUCUUUUAAAACAUGAAGUGAUCCAACAACCAGCCAGCUUUGAAUCCCAUCAGCACAACGCAGCAAACACCUCGCAAUAGUUCACACAUAUGCAAUACCCAAGAUUUCCUCUAAUAUUUAGGACUGUGGGGAAAUGCUUGAGCAGUGCCGUAAAAAGUGCUUACUGAAGUGACACAGGAAGUAGGUGUGAACCUGGAUGGAUAAACGGACAUGUAUACAUACCAAUCAUUAAACAGCACCACAUCGUUAACGCAAGGGUCUCUCAGGACGGACGUUCCUACAAAACAGAAAGUCAAUUUAAGCACGCGAUCAAAAGAAAUACUCUAGGAGAGUUUUUUUUUUUAAAGCCAUGGCAUGUCUCGUCACCACCUUGGACCCAACGCACGAAGGCUAUAAGGUCCAUGGCGGAAGGUGUUCGAGUUGCUCUUGCACUGCCAUUUGAACAAUCCAGUUAGAUAUAUACGACUGGAUGCAGAUACCACACAGUGCUGGAAAAAUGUAAAAUCAAAACAACCUUCAACCAACUUGUCAUGAAAUUCAGGCUCAACACUCACCAGCUGUGGGACAAGUGCGCCCUCGUCUGGACACCAGAGCUGCAACAAGAACAGCACACAGAGUGUUACAACUCACUUUCUUAAACAUUAAAUGUUCCCAAUAUUUCACAAAUCCAAAUGGAACAGUCCAUUUGAACGGUUGAAACCUUUAUCUAAAAUGGUUCCUUACCUGCCAAGAAUCUAAAACAAUCCAUUAGGUCUACACCUUUUUAUAAACCAUAUGGAAACGUUCACUGUCAGUGAUAAUGCACUGACGAAUAUUAACUGAGGAGGCGUGCAGCCCCUGGACACGAAUAAUCAAUGAGAAGAAAACGUUAAUAUGAGCAAAUAAAAAUAAAUCGGAAAGGUUAACGCGGAUAAAAUUGAUUCCCUUUGGAUUUGUCCUGAAGUCAGAAGUGCACAGUGCAAACGUUUUGUCCUGCAGCAUUUGCCCACAGAGUUAACGGGAGUAACACGAUGGGUAAAGCUAUACCACAGAGUUCGUCUUUGAGGCAUUUCCAACGACACGACUCUACUGUGAGGGGCCAGUCGGGAUAGACCUCAGGAAAUUUGUGGUAAAGGGGAAAAACUACAGCUUGCUUACUUGUAUGCUGCACCAACAUCUUCAUGAAGGUCGCAACCCAGGUCGCGUCGGCAGAGCUAGAAAAAUAGAAAACAUCCAAUAAUGAGUACUUCUCUUUUAAAAAAAGCAAAGAAAGACAAAACAACAAUGUGUUCAGAGAGGCUAAUUUCUUUCAUGGGCAUAAGAGCAGUUGAACAUAAAAAGCCAAUCAUCAUGACAAGAAAUUCUUAAAAUAUACAUGGGGGGAAAAUAAAGAAAAAGUGAGAUUUACCUCAAGUUUGGCCAGGAUGGCUAUCCAUGACCUGAAGAAGACAACCAAAAGGUUACUAUGGGUUUGAAUUGAUCCAGGUUGUAAUAAGCAAAAUAAAUAAAUAAAUAAAUAUUUUUAUAAAAAUGUCCAUUCCCAUAAGUAGCACUGCUAUGAUUUGAGCACAGCAGUGAGUUGCUGAGAACAGAGUUGUACUCUUUGCACUGUACUAGUUCAUCACUAAGCCCACCAUCACUAGGCCGUAACUAGGACUGUGCACAUCCAUAGUUAGGAGAAAUGAAUUACUUGCCAUUACUUUUGGAAGCUCUGGAUGCACCAGUGAUGCAGGAAAACAUAAACACCCAGGCAUCCUGAAAAGGGGAACAACAACAAAAAGAAGUGUAAAUACAUGCACGUGAUGCGUUAGUGAUGUUAGGAGUAGGAUAGUGUUAAAGAUGUCCCAGGCCUCAUUGUCACCUCAGCAAUCAAUGGUGCAGAGAUGAAAGCAAACCUGGACAUUAUGUAGCCAUGCAAUCAGUGGAACUGAUCCAUGACAGAGGAAGAAAUUCCAGUUUGUGGACGAUUUCACAUGGCUUUCAUAGAGAAGAAGAGCUGCAGCGCGUGCGCCAGCCCGUGCAGCAUGGCACCGCCUGACUAGCUUAGCUAAACUCACAGCUCGUGUUGAGAAACUGUGCUCGUUGCUCAAGAAAAGAUAGGAUGAUACGAUUGAAAAGAUUUCCUACAAAUUACAUUCCAACUUAAUUAAAUUUACCCUCCAAGCUGCUUGGCUUCAGCACGUGGCGGCUUAUACACGAAAAGUCAACGUGGAGUCUUACAUAUGUGGUUAAAACUGCUCUUAAUUAGGCAUGGUGUCUAAACAGAGCGUACAACGUUAAAAAAAAUAGUGAAUUAAAUGCCAAAACGAAUAUAUUUACCCAGUUAAAGGCGCCAUGUUCUUGUCCAUGUCAGCUAGGCAAAGCGAACAGAAAGAAAGAGACCGGAA